Molecule: ribosomal RNA, 1366 nt
Filed under: uncultured prokaryote
Description: partial 16S ribosomal RNA
Rfam family: Bacterial small subunit ribosomal RNA
Source: RNAcentral
GGAUGAACGCUAGCGGCAGGCCUAACACAUGCAAGUCGAACGGUAACAUGAGAGCUUGCUCUUGAUGACGAGUGGCGCACGGGUGCGUAACGCGUAUGCAACCUACCUUUAACUGGGGAAUAGCCUUUAGAAAUGAAGAAUAAUACCCCAUAAUAUUUCUCAAUGGCAUCAUUGAGUUCUUAAAGCUUCGGCGGUUAAAGAUGGGCAUGCGUUCUAUUAGUUAGUUGGUGAGGUAAUGGCUCACCAAGACUCCGAUAGAUAGGGGGCCUGAGAGGGUUAUCCCCCACACUGGUACUGAGACACGGACCAGACUCCUACGGGAGGCAGCAGUGAGGAAUAUUGGUCAAUGGACGAAAGUCUGAACCAGCCAUGCCGCGUGCAGGAUGAAUGCCCUACGGGUUGUAAACUGCUUUUAUAUAGGAAGAAACCCGAGAACGUGUUCUCGGCUGACGGUACUAUACGAAUAAGGACCGGCUAACUCCGUGCCAGCAGCCGCGGUAAUACGGAGGGUCCAAGCGUUAUCCGGAUUCAUUGGGUUUAAAGGGUCCGUAGGCGGGAAAAUAAGUCAGUGGUGAAAUCCUGCAGCUCAACUGUAGAACUGCCAUUGAAACUGUUUUUCUUGAGUAUAGAUGAAGUGGGCGGAAUGUGUCAUGUAGCGGUGAAAUGCAUAGAUAUGACACAGAACACCGAUUGCGAAGGCAGCUCACUAAACUAUUACUGACGCUGAGGGACGAAAGCGUGGGGAGCGAACAGGAUUAGAUACCCUGGUAGUCCACGCCGUAAACGAUCAUCACUCGCUGUUGGCGAUACACAGUCAGCGGCCAAGCGAAAGCAUUAAGUGAUGCACCUGGGGAGUACGGUCGCAAGAUUGAAACUCAAAGGAAUUGACGGGGGCCCGCACAAGCGGUGGAGCAUGUGGUUUAAUUCGAUGAUACGCGAGGAACCUUACCAGGGCUUAAAUGCAGAAUGACAGGAUGGGAAACCAUUUUUUCUUCGGACAUUUUGCAAGGUGCUGCAUGGUUGUCGUCAGCUCGUGCCGUGAGGUGUCAGGUUAAGUCCUAUAACGAGCGCAACCCCUAUCUUUAGUUGCUAACAGGUUAAGUGGGGACUCUAAGAAAACUGCCGGCGCAAGCCGCGAGGAAGGUGGGGACGACGUAAAGUCAUCACGGCCCUUACGUCCUGGGCCACACACGUGCUACAAUGGCGAGUACAGAGGGCAGCUACCUGGUGACAGGAUGCUAAUCUCAAAAACUCGUCUCAGUUCGGAUCGAAGUCUGCAACUCGACUUCGUGAAGCUGGAAUCGCUAGUAAUCGCGCAUCAGCCAUGGCGCGGUGAAUACGUUCCCGGGCCUUGUACUCACCGCCC